This is a non-coding RNA of Pteropus alecto (black flying fox), 158 nucleotides long. The record is from Rfam. Lineage: Eukaryota; Metazoa; Chordata; Mammalia; Chiroptera; Pteropodidae.
CCAAAAGCGCCCCCAACAGGGCCCUCCCUGAACUGUGGGGAGGUGGGUUCCCAGAGAACAAGGCUCCAUACCAGGGCAGACUGGGCAGGAGAUGCUGUGGCCCUGCCCCUGGUUUACUUGUCUCUAAAAUGAACAUGAUAAUGGUACCUACCUCACAG